RNAcentral lists this ribosomal RNA (164 nucleotides) under uncultured bacterium. RNAcentral's name for it is "partial 16S rRNA". It matches the Rfam family "Bacterial small subunit ribosomal RNA", at positions 355 to 511 of the family's 1533-position model. The record is from RNAcentral.
UAAGGAAUCUUCCACGAUGGGCGCAAGCCUGAUGGAGCAACACCGCGUGAGUGAAGAAGGGUUUCGGCUCGUAAAGCUCUGUUGUUAAAGAAGAACACGUAUGAGAGUAACUGUUCAUACGUUGACGGUAUUUAACCAGAAAGUCACGGCUAACUACGUGCCNG